This 663-nucleotide ribosomal RNA is filed under the name uncultured bacterium. RNAcentral's name for it is "bacterial SSU rRNA". It matches the Rfam family "Bacterial small subunit ribosomal RNA", at positions 524 to 1186 of the family's 1533-position model. The record is from RNAcentral.
UACGGAGGGUGCAAGCGUUAUUCGGAAUCACUGGGCGUAAAGGACGCGUAGGCGGGUUGGUAAGUCAGAUGUGAAAUCCUACAGCUUAACUGUAGAACUGCAUUUGAAACUACUAACCUAGAGUAUGGGAGGGGGAGAUGGAAUUAGUGGUGUAGGGGUAAAAUCCGUAGAUAUCACUAGGAAUACCGAAAGCGAAGGCGAUCUCCUGGAACAUAACUGACGCUAAGGCGUGAAAGCGUGGGGAGCAAACAGGAUUAGAUACCCUGGUAGUCCACGCCCUAAACGAUGAACACUAGUCGUCGGGAUGCUAGUCAUCUCGGUGAUGCACUUAACAGAUUAAGUGUUCCGCCUGGGGAGUACGGUCGCAAGAUUAAAACUCAAAGGAAUAGACGGGGACCCGCACAAGUGGUGGAGCAUGUGGUUUAAUUCGAAGAUACGCGAAGAGCCUUACCUAGCCUUGACAUUGAAGAAACACUUUAGAGAUAGAGUGGUGCCCUUCGGGGAAUCUGAAAACAGGUGCUGCACGGCUGUCGUCAGCUCGUGUCGUGAGAUGUUGGGUUAAGUCCCGCAACGAGCGCAACCCUCGUCCUUAGUUGCUAGCAGUUCGGCUGAGCACUCUAAGGAAACUGCCUUCGUAAGGAGGAGGAAGGUGAGGACGACGUC